This 212-nucleotide ribosomal RNA is filed under the name uncultured bacterium. Its description in RNAcentral is "partial 16S ribosomal RNA". It matches the Rfam family "Bacterial small subunit ribosomal RNA", at positions 1290 to 1500 of the family's 1533-position model. The record is from RNAcentral.
AGUUCGGAUUGUAGUCUGCAACCCGACUACAUGAAGCUGGAAUCGCUAGUAAUCGCGGAUCAGAAUGCCGCGGUGAAUACGUUCCCGGGUCUUGUACACACCGCCCGUCACACCAUGGGAGUCGGAAAUGCCCGAAGUCUGUGACCCAACCUUAGGGAGGGAGCAGCCGAAGGCAGGUCGGAUGACUGGGGGUGAAGUCGUAACAAGGUAGC